UGCCAUCGUCUCCUCACCAGAGGUCAUCUCCAAGUAUGAGAAGGCGCUCCUGCGUGGCUAUGUGGAGAGCUGCUCCAACCUGACCUGGUGCACCAACCCCCAGGGCUGCGACCGCAUCUUGUGCCGCCAGGGCCUGGGCUGUGGGACCACCUGCUCCAAGUGUGGCUGGGCCUCUUGCUUCAACUGUAGUUUCCCUGAGGUUGGAGCCCCACACUGGCCCUGACCCUGAGCAAGGAUUCACACUCCUUCCCUGCUUAAUAUCUCCUCCCUGCCACACACACACACUGUGACUUGUCCUUCCUCAGCCUCUGCCACCCAGUUGAGCUCUGUUCCUCUUCCUGGAGCCCUCCAAAUGUGACCCGUGCCUGCUCCCCUCUCUCCUGUGCACACCAGCCAUGCUGCCCUCAGGGCUCAGCUGUGUCCCCACCAUGUCCUCUUGCCUUAGGCACACUACCCUGCUAGCUGUGGCCAUAUGUCUCAGUGGGUCGAUGACGGUGGCUACUACGACGGCAUGAGCGUGGAGGCGCAGAGCAAGCACCUGGCCAAGCUCAUCUCCAAGCGCUGUC
Molecule: small RNA, 566 nt
Filed under: Pongo abelii (Sumatran orangutan)
Lineage: Eukaryota; Metazoa; Chordata; Mammalia; Primates; Hominidae
Description: retained intron
Source: RNAcentral